CACUUUAAGGUUAAAUAAAAAAGAUUAGUAUUUAGUUAAGUGAGAAUUUUUUAAUGAUUAUAAAUAAUAAAAGGUAGAAUUUAAUUGUUAUUUUGUAUGAGAUUAAUGAUUUAAAUUGAAACUAAAAAAUCUAAUUAUAAACUAGGAUUAGAUACCCUACUAUUUUGGAAAGAAAAAAUAAAAACUAAACUAGUAUUAGUUAUAUACUUUAAAAUUAAAAAAUUUGGCGGUGAUUUAAUCUUUUCAGAGGAAUUUGUUUUUUAAUCGAUAAUCCACGAAAAAUCUUACUUGUUUUUGUUAAAAUUAUAAACUCAGUUUGUAUACCGUCAUUAUCAGAUAAUUCUAAAAAGAAAAAUUAUCAAACAUAAUUAAUUAUUAAAAUUAGAUCAUGGUGCAGCUUAUAAACAAGUUAAAAUGAAUUACAAUAAAUUAUUUUAAAUGGAUUGAUAAAAUAAAUUUUAUUAUGAAGGAGGAUUUGAUAGUAUUAUAAUUUUAAUAAGUUUAUAAGACAAUGGCUCUAAAUCAUGUACAUAUCGCCCGUCGCUUUCAUUUAUAAAUGAAAUAAGUCGUAACAUA
This 576-nucleotide ribosomal RNA is filed under the name Parasesarma plicatum. Its description in RNAcentral is "partial 12S ribosomal RNA". Lineage: Eukaryota; Metazoa; Arthropoda; Malacostraca; Decapoda; Sesarmidae. The record is from RNAcentral.